Molecule: long non-coding RNA, 599 nt
Filed under: Citrus x clementina
Lineage: Eukaryota; Viridiplantae; Streptophyta; Magnoliopsida; Sapindales; Rutaceae
Description: Citrus clementina (C. clementina) long non-coding RNA (CCLE_LNC003946)
Source: RNAcentral
UAGAUUAUUUUUUCUCCACCGAUAAUCACUAAUCUCUUUUGUUAAUUUUCUUUGCUUUUUCUUCAUCUCAACGACGUGUUUAAGAAUUUAAGUUAUUUGCUUAUUAAUCUCUAGGAAUUCUUACGAACUAAGAUUUAAGAUUAAAAUUAAAAAUUAUUCAAUCAUUGGAUAUUUAUUUUCGACUUCUGUCUAUUGCUAUAUAGUGCUACCUGAAAUUGUUUAGUGGCAACUCUCAUCCGUUUAAUUUAGGUUCAUAGAUUAGAAAGAGCACAUGAUAUCAAAACCAUCAAUUUCUAAUUUUAAAUUCACACGUUUGGGGUUUUUUUUCAUAUAUAUUAACUUUUAUAUGUAUGUAUGUAUGUAUGUAUGUACUGAUUAUGGAAAACUUGUUCUCAUGAAAAAAAAAUUAAGUUUUGUCGAGGACCGGAGGAAAAAAAUAAGGGAAAUUAUCAUUACACCACCCUAUUUUUGGCUUUAUGUUCAUCAAACCAUCACAAAAUUCUAACAUGUUCUCUGCAUCACAUUUCUUUUUAAAUUUGUAUCAAUUAGCCACUUUUGCACUAACACCGUUAAAUAAUUUAAGUGAAAUGAUAAUUUUA